This 335-nucleotide ribosomal RNA is filed under the name Klebsiella quasipneumoniae subsp. similipneumoniae. RNAcentral describes it as "partial 23S ribosomal RNA". It matches the Rfam family "Bacterial large subunit ribosomal RNA", at positions 398 to 736 of the family's 2925-position model. The record is from RNAcentral. Lineage: Bacteria; Pseudomonadati; Pseudomonadota; Gammaproteobacteria; Enterobacterales; Enterobacteriaceae.
UGUGAACUCGAAGAGUAGGGCGGGACACGUGGUAUCCUGUCUGAAUAUGGGGGGACCAUCCUCCAAGGCUAAAUACUCCUGACUGACCGAUAGUGAACCAGUACCGUGAGGGAAAGGCGAAAAGAACCCCGGCGAGGGGAGUGAAAAAGAACCUGAAACCGUGUACGUACAAGCAGUGGGAGCACCUUUAUGGUGUGACUGCGUACCUUUUGUAUAAUGGGUCAGCGACUUAUAUUCUGUAGCAAGGUUAACCGUAUAGGGGAGCCGCAGGGAAACCGAGUCUUAACUGGGCGUUAAGUUGCAGGGUAUAGACCCGAAACCCGGUGAUCUAGCCA